Molecule: ribosomal RNA, 1115 nt
Filed under: bacterium
Lineage: Bacteria
Description: partial 23S ribosomal RNA
Rfam family: Bacterial large subunit ribosomal RNA
Source: RNAcentral
GAAAAUGCAAUAGGAGUGAAGAUGCUCCUUACCUGCAGUUAGACGAAAAGACCCCGGGAGCUUCACUGCAGCUUGAUAUUGGGUUAGUAUUUUGAAUGCGUAGCGUAGACGGGAGACUUCGAAGCCUUGAUUUCGGUCAGGGUGGAGUCGCCAAUGAAACACUCAUCUUUUAAGUCCUUUGUUCUAAUCUCGAUUAAAUUCGGGAAACAGUGUUUGAUGGGCAGUUUUAGUGGGGCGCUAGCCUCCUAAAGAGUAGCGGAGGCGUUUAAAGGUCAGCUAGUUCCGGAUGGAAAUCGGGACGGUCCUGUAAAGGGUUAAGCUGGCUUUACUGCAAGAGGGAUAACUCGCGCAGUUGGGAAACCAGAACUUAGUGAACCGACUUCGGUUAGUAGAACCGGAGAAGAUCAUCAGCCAAAAGUUACCCCGGGGAUAACAGGCUAGUAGGGCCCGCGAGUCCACAUCAACGGCCCUGUUCGGCACCUCGAUGUCGGCUCAUCACAUCCUGGGGGUGGAGCAGCUCCCAAGGGUUUGGCUGUUCGCCAAUUAAAGUGGUACGUGAGCUGGGUUCAGACCGUUUAGGAGUUAAUAAAAUAAAUUGACUCUCAAACAGUCUGAAUCCGAGGGUUAAGACAUCAAAACAUGGCGGCGGCAGAGAGAAAUCUCUGCGCGUGAAGCUGACUAAUAUCGGUGAAAUCCAGAACGGACAAUACCGAGGGAAUAUUUUUUAAUAGCCCGUAGAGACUACACGUCAGCAAUCCUAAUCCAUAUUUUUUAAUGGACGGAUUAAUAUAUAGUCCGAUGCAUCUAGGAAUAGGUGACAACAUGCGUGAGACAGGUUGGUCCCUAUCUACCGCAGGCGUUGAGUUUUGAGGGGGCUCGUCUCUAGUACGAGAGGACCGAGACGAACUGACCUCUGGUCUACCAGUUGUUCCGCCAGGAGCAUUGCUGGGUAGCUAAGUCGGGAAGGGAUAAGAGCUGAAAGCAUCUAAGCUCGAAGCCUGCCCCAAGAUUAGAACUCUUAGAUUCCUCAGAGAACAUGAGGUUGAUAGGCUGUAAGUGUAAGUGCGGCAACGCAUUAAGCUGAGCAGUACUAAUAAAUCAUUAAUCAUUUCUUG